RNAcentral lists this ribosomal RNA (253 nucleotides) under uncultured bacterium. Its description in RNAcentral is "partial 16S ribosomal RNA". It matches the Rfam family "Bacterial small subunit ribosomal RNA", at positions 524 to 776 of the family's 1533-position model. The record is from RNAcentral.
UACGUAGGUGGCAAGCGUUAUCCGGAUUUAUUGGGUGUAAAGGGCGUGUAGGCGGGAGCGCAAGUCAGAUGUGAAAACUCAGGGCUCAACCCUGAGCCUGCAUUUGAAACUGUACUUCUUGAGUACUGGAGAGGCAGACGGAAUUCCUAGUGUAGCGGUGAAAUGCGUAGAUAUUAGGAGGAACACCAGUGGCGAAGGCGGUCUGCUGGACAGCAACUGACGCUGAGGCGCGAAAGCGUGGGGAGCAAACAGG